AAUCAUGAGCGAUUAUAUAGGAGUUGUAGAAGUUUGUUGGAGUGUUAGACUGAGAAAGUCAUGAGCCGGAGUAAGCUUGGUGCUACCUCUUUGUUUCUUUGUUUUCUUUAUUAUUGAAGAGUAAUGGAUAAUUUCUGAAUACUGAGAAGUGAGUCUGUGGAAUAAAUAAGAGAUUGAUUUAUGAGUUAUUGAUUAUGUAAUUGGAGUACUGAGUGAUUCAAUUAUAUGAGGAGUUAUUGGAAGAUUAUGAUUGUUGUUUAUUGAGAGUUAUGUGUGUUUUGGACAGAAGAAGUCUGUGAUUAUAGAAAUUAUGUGAAUUCAGAUUGUUGGAAUGAAAUCUAUUAUUCCUAGUGUUAGAUGGAAAUUAUUGUGUUUUGAGCGGUAUUUAGAGAGUGCAAAGUUGCACACUGUUGUUAUUAGUUGAUAAAGGAGUAUUGUUACUAGGAGAAAGCAUCGUAGUAUUUCUUAGUAUUUUAGUGGUUUAGAAUACAGUUAAUUGUGUGACCCUAAUAAGUAAAAUUCAUGCACUUAGUCUUUCCCUCUAUUUGAAUUCUCCUAUACAAGUUUAUUCUGAAAGGAAUUGUAGAAUAAGUAAAACGACAAUCACAUUUUGGCACCGUUGUCGAGGAUAGAUAAUAACAUUGAGUGUUAAGAAUUAACUGCCGGUUUAAUUAGAUGGGAGAUAGGAAGCAAAUUCAGUAGAAUAUAAUAAAAGAGUA
Molecule: long non-coding RNA, 719 nt
Filed under: Physcomitrium patens
Lineage: Eukaryota; Viridiplantae; Streptophyta; Bryopsida; Funariales; Funariaceae
Description: long non-coding RNA (PPAT_LNC014808)
Source: RNAcentral